UACCUGGUAGUCCACGCUGUAAACGAUGUCGACUUGGAGGUUGUUCCCUUGAGGAGUGGCUUCCGGAGCUAACGCGUUAAGUCGACCGCCUGGGGAGUACGGCCGCAAGGUUAAAACUCAAAUGAAUUGACGGGGGCCCGCACAAGCGGUGGAGCAUGUGGUUUAAUUCGAUGCAACGCGAAGAACCUUACCUACUCUUGACAUCCAGAGAACUUAGCAGAGAUGCUUUGGUGCCUUCGGGAACUCUGAGACAGGUGCUGCAUGGCUGUCGUCAGCUCGUGUUGUGAAAUGUUGGGUUAAGUCCCGCAACGAGCGCAACCCUUAUCCUUUGUUGCCAGCGGUUCGGCCGGGAACUCAAAGGAGACUGCCAGUGAUAAACUGGAGGAAGGUGGGGAUGACGUCAAGUCAUCAUGGCCCUUACGAGUAGGGCUACACACGUGCUACAAUGGCAUAUACAAAGAGAAGCGACCUCGCGAGAGCAAGCGGACCUCAUAAAGUAUGUCGUAGUCCGGAUCGGAGUCUGCAACUCGACUCCGUGAAGUCGGAAUCGCUAGUAAUCGUGGAUCAGAAUGCCACGGUGAAUACGUUCCCGGGCCUUGUACACACCGCCCGUCACACCAUGGGAGUGGGUUGCAAAAGAAGUAGGUAGCUUAAC
RNAcentral lists this ribosomal RNA (655 nucleotides) under bacterium YG-38. RNAcentral describes it as "bacterial SSU rRNA". It matches the Rfam family "Bacterial small subunit ribosomal RNA", at positions 784 to 1439 of the family's 1533-position model. The record is from RNAcentral.